RNAcentral lists this long non-coding RNA (1219 nucleotides) under Anas platyrhynchos platyrhynchos (common mallard). Its description in RNAcentral is "lncRNA (ENSAPLG00000028197.1)". The record is from RNAcentral. Lineage: Eukaryota; Metazoa; Chordata; Aves; Anseriformes; Anatidae.
CUCAGCAAUGAUGCUCUGGCACAGGGAUGUCUCUGCUGACAGAGGGGAGCACGCAGGGCACACUUUGAGUUCUUGGUAUGGUGUAGGCUUUCAGAGAAGAUACUCAGCAAAUAAGGCUAUUUUUCAUUAAAGCUGUAUUCAAAAAGGCCCAUUAAUGUCACCAUGCUACUUGUGGAUAUACGGAUAGUGGUUUUGAAAACCUGGGCUUCCUCUGCACUAAAUGAACUGCAAGCCUCCAGAGACAAACUGGAAGAUCCAUGUCAUGUUGUCCUUUAAGUCUUGAAAACAGUCCCUGGAAAUGGAGUACUACUAUUCAUCAUUCACAUUUCAGCCCCUGGCCCGACUGUGCAUCUCACUCCUCCAGGCUUCUCCUGCCGUGAAACCAGUCUGACCACCAGUUUUGGAGAGGAAAUGUUUUAUAGCUGCCUGGAACGCACCGAGAGACCUGUGCUCCCUUCAGGGUAGUGCUGAACCUGAAAAUGUUCCGUGUAACUGGGAGCCCAUUAACUAAAGCAAGAGGGCAGAACGUGACCAUAUUUUAUUUUAAUAAGCUUGGCUAUUAUCCUCAGUACACAUUACAGGAAAUCCCUGUUAGUGGCGGCUGAUCACAGAACUUCAGUUUGCAAACUCAUCUGGAGAAAGGCAGCUGUGACAUUAACUAUUCCACCCCAGCUAAGGACUUCCAUGGAUUAGCAGCCAUAGACUGGGAAUACUGGAGCCCUCAGUGGGACUGCGACUGGGAUGCAAAAGAUGUUUACAGGAGAAAGGCCAGGAAACUCAUUUCUCAAAUGGAAGGGAUUUUUUUCAGCAGCUGCUGUUGAACAUUAAGUCAGAUUUUCCUUAAAAAAAAGUGCAAAAGCUUUUAUGAAGGAAACAGUUGCAUUAGGAAUGAAAAGCAGAACAAGGGGCCUGCAGGGAUGCUGUUUAACCCUGACUGCCACAAUUGCAAUUUCUGUGUUAAGAAGUGCUCUGGUUCCUGCCUAAAGAGUGAAGUUUUGGGGAACAAUGAACUUCCCUGGCUCUGGGAUGGUGCUGCAGCCCUAUUUAUGUCUGAAGCCCCAACGUGUCCUGAAGCCUUCAGACAGCCACAUUUUUUGUCAGGAGAAAAGACUUUGUCCUCAGAGCUGUGUGAAGUGGGUGUUCUGGGCCACUUUUCUCCUGGCAGAUAGUAAAGAAAACCCAGCCAUUUUCAGAAUAAAUGGCUGAAGGUAAGUGUUCA